Molecule: ribosomal RNA, 427 nt
Filed under: uncultured beta proteobacterium
Lineage: Bacteria; Pseudomonadati; Pseudomonadota; Betaproteobacteria
Description: bacterial SSU rRNA
Rfam family: Bacterial small subunit ribosomal RNA
Source: RNAcentral
UGGGGAAUUUUGGACAAUGGGCGAAAGCCUGAUCCAGCCAUGCCGCGUGAGUGAAGAAGGCCUUCGGGUUGUAAAGCUCUUUUAGUCGGAAAGAAAGAGUCGCAACGAAUAAUUGUGAUUUAUGACGGUACCGACAGAAAAAGCACCGGCUAACUACGUGCCAGCAGCCGCGGUAAUACGUAGGGUGCGAGCGUUAAUCGGAAUUACUGGGCGUAAAGGGUGCGCAGGCGGUUUUGCAAGUCAGAUGUGAAAGCCCCGGGCUUAACCUGGGAAUUGCGUUUGAAACUACAAGGCUAGAGUGCAGCAGAGGGGAGUGGAAUUCCAUGUGUAGCAGUGAAAUGCGUAGAGAUGUGGAAGAACACCGAUGGCGAAGGCAGCUCCCUGGGUUGACACUGACGCUCAUGCACGAAAGCGUGGGGAGCAAACA